GCCCCCGUAGCUCAGUGGACAGAGCACCGGACUUCUAAUCCGACGGUCGUAGGUUCGAAUCCUACCGGGGGUACCA
RNAcentral lists this transfer RNA (76 nucleotides) under Chloroflexota bacterium. Its description in RNAcentral is "tRNA-Arg". It matches the Rfam family "tRNA". Rfam says of the family: Transfer RNA (tRNA) molecules are approximately 80 nucleotides in length. Their secondary structure includes four short double-helical elements and three loops (D, anti-codon, and T loops). Lineage: Bacteria; Bacillati; Chloroflexota. The record is from RNAcentral.